CGACGGCAGCACGGGAGCAAUCCUGGUGGCGAGUGGCGAACGGGUGAGUAAUAUAUCGGAACGUGCCCAGUCGUGGGGGAUAACGUAGCGAAAGUUACGCUAAUACCGCAUACGAUCUAUGGAUGAAAGCGGGGGAUCGCAAGACCUCGCGCGAUUGGAGCGGCCGAUAUCAGAUUAGGUAGUUGGUGAGGUAAAGGCUCACCAAGCCUUCGAUCUGUAGCUGGUCUGAGAGGACGACCAGCCACACUGGGACUG
RNAcentral lists this ribosomal RNA (255 nucleotides) under uncultured Curvibacter sp. RNAcentral describes it as "partial 16S ribosomal RNA". It matches the Rfam family "Bacterial small subunit ribosomal RNA", at positions 64 to 321 of the family's 1533-position model. The record is from RNAcentral. Lineage: Bacteria; Pseudomonadati; Pseudomonadota; Betaproteobacteria; Burkholderiales; Comamonadaceae.